RNAcentral lists this ribosomal RNA (931 nucleotides) under Photobacterium halotolerans. Its description in RNAcentral is "bacterial SSU rRNA". It matches the Rfam family "Bacterial small subunit ribosomal RNA", at positions 556 to 1487 of the family's 1533-position model. The record is from RNAcentral. Lineage: Bacteria; Pseudomonadati; Pseudomonadota; Gammaproteobacteria; Vibrionales; Vibrionaceae.
GGGCGUAAAGCGCAUGCAGGCGGCUUGUUAAGCCAGAUGUGAAAGCCCGGGGCUCAACCUCGGAAUCGCAUUUGGAACUGGCAGGCUAGAGUCUUGUAGAGGGGGGUAGAAUUUCAGGUGUAGCGGUGAAAUGCGUAGAGAUCUGAAGGAAUACCAGUGGCGAAGGCGGCCCCCUGGACAAAGACUGACGCUCAGAUGCGAAAGCGUGGGGAGCAAACAGGAUUAGAUACCCUGGUAGUCCACGCCGUAAACGAUGUCUACUUGGAGGCUGGUGUCUUGAACACUGGCUUUCGGAGCUAACGCGUUAAGUAGACCGCCUGGGGAGUACGGUCGCAAGAUUAAAACUCAAAUGAAUUGACGGGGGCCCGCACAAGCGGUGGAGCAUGUGGUUUAAUUCGAUGCAACGCGAAGAACCUUACCUACUCUUGACAUCCAGAGAACUUUCCAGAGAUGGAUUGGUGCCUUCGGGAGCUCUGAGACAGGUGCUGCAUGGCUGUCGUCAGCUCGUGUUGUGAAAUGUUGGGUUAAGUCCCGCAACGAGCGCAACCCUUAUCCUUGUUUGCCAGCACUUCGGGUGGGAACUCCAGGGAGACUGCCGGUGAUAAACCGGAGGAAGGUGGGGACGACGUCAAGUCAUCAUGGCCCUUACGAGUAGGGCUACACACGUGCUACAAUGGCGCAUACAGAGGGCGGCGAGCCAGCGAUGGUGAGCGAAUCCCAAAAAGUGCGUCGUAGUCCGGAUUGGAGUCUGCAACUCGACUCCAUGAAGUCGGAAUCGCUAGUAAUCGUGGAUCAGAAUGCCACGGUGAAUACGUUCCCGGGCCUUGUACACACCGCCCGUCACACCAUGGGAGUGGGCUGCACCAGAAGUAGAUAGCUUAACCUUCGGGAGGGCGUUUACCACGGUGUGGUUCAUGACUGGGGUGAAGUC